UAACCGGNGGNACUUAAGCAUAUCAAUAAGCGGAGGAAAAGAAACCAACAGGGAUUGCCCUAGUAACGGCGAGUGAAGCGGCAACAGCUCAAAUUUGAAAUCUGGCCCUCGGGUCCGAGUUGUAAUUUGUAGAGGAUGCUUUUGGCAAGGUGCCUUCCGAGUUCCCUGGAACGGGACGCCAUAGAGGGUGAGAGCCCCGUCUGGUCGGACACCGCGCCUCUGUAAAGCUCCUUCGACGAGUCGAGUAGUUUGGGAAUGCUGCUCUAAAUGGGAGGUAUAUGUCUUCUAAAGCUAAAUAUUGGCCAGAGACCGAUAGCGCACAAGUAGAGUGAUCGAAAGAUGAAAAGCACUUUGAAAAGAGAGUUAAAAAGUACGUGAAAUUGUUGAAAGGGAAGCGAUUAUGACCAGACUUGGGCCUGUUUGAUCAACUUGGGUUCUCCCGGGUGCACUCUCUCAGGCCUAGGCCAGCAUCAGUUCGUCGCGGGGGACAAAGGUCGCGGGAAUGUGGCUCCCCUCGGGGAGUGUUAUAGCCCGUUUCGUAAUACCCUGCGUCGGACUGAGGUUCGCGCAUUUGCAAGGAUGCUGGCGUAAUGGUCAUCAUCGACCCGUCUGAAACACGACCAGNNNCC
This 629-nucleotide ribosomal RNA is filed under the name Thelonectria veuillotiana. RNAcentral describes it as "eukaryotic LSU rRNA". It matches the Rfam family "Eukaryotic large subunit ribosomal RNA", at positions 24 to 664 of the family's 3401-position model. The record is from RNAcentral. Lineage: Eukaryota; Fungi; Ascomycota; Sordariomycetes; Hypocreales; Nectriaceae.